UUGACACUAAGGGCGGAGUGACAUAAUUUCAGGAGUGAGGGUUAGGGAGAGGUUUCCCACUCCCUGGUGUUCUUAGUAAGCCUGGAAGCUAAUCACUAAGAGUAUCACCAGUAUGAUGACGUGCUUCAUCAUAACCCUUUCCUUAUU
Molecule: small RNA, 147 nt
Filed under: Escherichia coli
Lineage: Bacteria; Pseudomonadati; Pseudomonadota; Gammaproteobacteria; Enterobacterales; Enterobacteriaceae
Description: Short Intergenic Abundant RNA
Rfam family: Short Intergenic Abundant RNA
About the family: This family contains multiple ncRNA from E. coli that were identified in a large scale screen of E. coli, were they were called candidates 43,55 and 61.
Source: RNAcentral